Molecule: non-coding RNA, 2876 nt
Organism: Paramuricea clavata
Lineage: Eukaryota; Metazoa; Cnidaria; Anthozoa; Malacalcyonacea; Plexauridae
Source: the annotation of a GenBank genome assembly
CUAAAUUCAUGGCAACUACCACUGUCCCAACCGCGAUCCUAAGCUUUCGACGAUGUACUUCACCCCCCUGGUUUGAGCCUAAAAAAAUUGUUUUUGAGAAGAAAAUCUCACUGAAAAUCGUGAUAUUUUUCUUCCAAUUUGCUUGAUUUACAACGGAUACUGUAUUUUUACGCCGCUCGUAUGUGUGAGAAUUCUCCAAAGUCCAAACAAGAACGAGAAGAAUAUAUUUUUAUUCACCGGUAAGAUUUUAUACAGUUAUUUGAAUAUUUCUAGAUUCUAGCUUGCUGUGUGCCUGUGUCUGCUUGCUUUUAUAUUAAACUCGAUAGAAAAAAAAUUAAGAAAUGUACGAAGCACAAACCAUAGGGAAAUGGUUGGGAAUCCUGUAAAUUUUAUUGAUUUUAAUACCACUAGUCUCUGUGUUUUCAUAGCCAUAGGGUUUUAAAACCUGCUUAUAGUGUCAAAAUCCUCACUGUGCACUUACUGUAUAUUUAUUUUAUAGCACUACAGGCUUUUAUAGUAUUAUAGAGAUAUAAACAAAUUUUCCCUGACAAACUUUGAGUGAUAUAUAUAGCCUUGCCAGCGGUUCUUGUAGCAGUUAUAUAUAAUGACUGUGUAUACUGUAGUUAUAUUAUUUAUCACUUCUACAACAGGCAGGUGAAAAUUAAAUUGUUUUGCUGAAUAUGCUGGGCCAAUUAAAGGCCAUUAAAGAUAUCAAGUUCAAACCAUUCAAAUGAUUCAAUACCCAUUGCAAUCAAGCAAUGACCAUAAACCUAAGCCCCAAUGACAGACCCCAAAUAUAAGCCCUCCUGUGUAGAAAUGCACCACAAGGGUGCAUCGGGGUGCAAUGCAACUCAAUGGGUUAACUAUAGGCACAUGCGCAGAUAGGCCAGUUAACCCAUUAAGCGCCAGCGCUCUCCCCUUGACGAGUAAAAUCGUCUGGCAUUAGACAGAGUAAAAUAUCAAAGUAGGGUGCAUCAGGGUGCAAUGCAACUCAAUGGGUUAAAUCCCUCUGUGUGAGCCCAUAAACUUAUUUUUGGACAGGUAUUUUUUAAUGCAGCGAAGGGGAUUCCAACAGCUCAGCCCAUCAAAAAUGCUAUUGAAUGAAUAUAAGCAUUGGUUCCAGAAAAGAUCCACACUCCCCACUUUCUGCCGUCCGGAGGGGGAGGGGAGAAUAAAUUGUUUCUGAUAAUUGUAAAUGUAUUAGGACAUCCGAAGGAGGUAGGGGAGUUAACUUCCAAUUUCCUCUGUGGGGGUGGUAUGGAUGUUUUCUGGAAUAACCCAUUCAGAGGUUUACAUGGUAUUCAUCUGCCCAACAUAGUAUGUCAGAGUUAUAUAAAUUCCACAGCCAUUAGAGUUGUAGACUUGUAGUUAGGUAUUUGUAGGAAUGAAGGGUGUCUACGUGCCAGCCAAUGCAUAUUUGCUGCCAAUCAAAUUGCCGAUGAUUGAUAACAUGUACAUUUGAGAGCAUCUUCAGUGGUGGUAUCCCCAGUAUUGGAGUAGAGCCCAACUGUUCAGUUAGACAUUAUUUACGAACUUCCUCUCUUAUAUCUGCAUAGAUUAUUUUUGAUAUAUUGUAAUGUAAAAUGAAACUUUGGGAUAGUUAAGAAAUACAAUUAAUCCAUUUAUAAUGGACAAGAUUGUCCCCUUAACAAGUAAAAUUGCCUGGCAUAUUAGACGGACUUAUAAAUGACAUACCAUAUUAAUUUUUAAAACCAUUAGGUUGCAUUGUGCCCUAAUGCACCCUACUUUAUUAUUUUACUCUGUCUAACACCAGACAAUUUUACUUGUGAACUGGAGAGCCACUCAGUGCUCAAUGGGUUAACAUGUCAAUGUCUAACUGAACCGUCUGGGCUCUGCUCUACAGUAAAUUUCCUUGUAAUUGGAGUCUGGGAUCUGUGACCCAAUACAUCUUCAGUGUCUUCAUAUGGUACUGUCACUAUUUUAUAUGUAUAAUGGACAUUUUUCAUUUAGGGUGAAUCUGAUGUACAAGUCAUGUGGACAAGAAAUUAAUACAAGUUCUUUUGAAUGUUCAAAUAGCAAGGGUUAAGUGGUGCACUAGCUCUUGCCAGACUUAACUGCAUGCCAGAACUAACAAUUACUUUUCUCUAUAAUUUUGUGGGAAUGUGUUAUUUGUUUAUGUAAUAUGUUCUACAAACAGCCAAAGAAUAACCCAUGAGCUCUAGUUUUAAUUUUUUAAUAAUACUGUUAAGUAUUACAUGUAACGUGAUUGUACAGUUAGGUUUUAAUAUUAUUUAUUGCUAAUGGGUCAUUCCAGAAAACAUCCAUACCACCCCCACAGAGGAAAUUACGUACAUUUACUAUUAUCAGAAACAAUUUUUUCCCUCCUCCCCCUCCGGACGGCAUUAAUUUCCUCCGUGGGGGGAGUGUGGAUCUUUUCUGGAACGUCCCAACUGGAUAAUUAUUCUUUAACCAUGCAAGUUGAAUUAAAAUAAAUAAUAUACAAAAUCAAGCAAAUUUUUGUCUUUAAUUAAUUUUGAAACAAUUAAUACAUGUUUCUUGGAGGUUCACUAACAACAGUGGCAUGAACUCAUUGUGGGAACAUUCUGCAAUAAGCAAGAAUAGAUUAUAGCCAUAGGGGCUAUCAAUAUGGAAGCCAGGCUGGCCUGGUUGGCAGAACUAUUUAUUAUUUCCAGAUUAAUUUCCUUGCCGACACAAUUCAGUCUAUUGUUUUGACAAUAUUUCCAUGACCAAUGUUGUAUUGACUUUACUUUGACCAGGUCAGUCCAGUUAGUGUUUAUAUCCAUAAAAUAUCUUCCCAGUGUAACUGAGAGCUUGCCUUCUUCAGGUGAGAUCUGAAAACUGAGCCAGUCAGGUUGUCCAUACAAUUUGAAAGGAAUUUCCACUAUAAAAAUAAC